This 522-nucleotide ribosomal RNA is filed under the name uncultured bacterium. RNAcentral describes it as "bacterial SSU rRNA". It matches the Rfam family "Bacterial small subunit ribosomal RNA", at positions 988 to 1509 of the family's 1533-position model. The record is from RNAcentral.
CCAGAGAACUUAGCAGAGAUGCUUUGGUGGCCUUCGGGAACUCUGAGACAGGUGCUGCAUGGCUGUCGUCAGCUCGUGUUGUGAAAUGUUGGGUUAAGUCCCGCAACGAGCGCAACCCUUAUCCUUUGUUGCCAGCGGCUCGGCCGGGAACUCAAAGGAGACUGCCGGUGAUAAACCGGAGGAAGGUGGGGAUGACGUCAAGUCAUCAUGGCCCUUACGGCCAGGGCUACACACGUGCUACAAUGGCGCAUACAAAGAGAAGCGACCUCGCGAGAGCAAGCGGACCUCAUAAAGUGCGUCGUAGUCCGGAUUGGAGUCUGCAACUCGACUCCAUGAAGUCGGAAUCGCUAGUAAUCGUAGAUCAGAAUGCUACGGUGAAUACGUUCCCGGGCCUUGUACACACCGCCCGUCACACCAUGGGAGUGGGUUGCAAAAGAAGUAGGUAGCUUAACCUUCGGGAGGGCGCUUACCACUUUGUGAUUCAUGACUGGGGUGAAGUCGUAACAAGGUAGGCGUAGCGAG